This 69-nucleotide transfer RNA is filed under the name Hydrosaurus amboinensis (sailfin lizard). Its description in RNAcentral is "tRNA-Glu". It matches the Rfam family "tRNA". Rfam says of the family: Transfer RNA (tRNA) molecules are approximately 80 nucleotides in length. Their secondary structure includes four short double-helical elements and three loops (D, anti-codon, and T loops). The record is from RNAcentral. Lineage: Eukaryota; Metazoa; Chordata; Lepidosauria; Squamata; Agamidae.
GUUCUUGUAGUUGAAGAUACAACAUUGGUUUUUCGAGUCAGUGGUCUAGAGGGCAGUCUAGCAAGAACU